GGAGUCGGCCAGACAGCCGCUGCGCAGUGCUGCAUCGCGUGGAGGAAAGUCCGGGCUCCGCAGAGCAGGAUGCCGGCUAACGGCCGGGCGCCGCGAGGUGACGAACAGGGCCACAGAGACGAGUCCGCAGCCUCGGCAGUUCGGGGCGGCGGGGUGAAACGCGGCAACCUCCAUCCGGAGCAACACCAAAUAGGCAAGCGCGGUGCGCAAGCACCAUAGGCCGGCUCGGCCAAGCUUGCGGGUAGGUGGCUAGAGCCCGGGAGCAAUCCCUGGCCCAGAGGAAUGGCUGUCCCGGCAUCUCACCCUCACGGGCGCGGUGUCGACAGAACCCGGCUUACCGGCCGGCUCCCGCU
This 353-nucleotide RNase P RNA is filed under the name Betaproteobacteria bacterium. RNAcentral's name for it is "RNase P RNA component class A". It matches the Rfam family "Bacterial RNase P class A". Rfam says of the family: Ribonuclease P (RNase P) is a ubiquitous endoribonuclease, found in archaea, bacteria and eukarya as well as chloroplasts and mitochondria. Its best characterised activity is the generation of mature 5'-ends of tRNAs by cleaving the 5'-leader elements of precursor-tRNAs. The record is from RNAcentral. Lineage: Bacteria; Pseudomonadati; Pseudomonadota; Betaproteobacteria.